GGUCUUUCGUUUUGCUCGCAAUAUCCUUAUAUCGGUUCGGUCGGACGGGAUUUUCCCGGCCCGAAUAUGGCGAUAAAUUGCGGCGUAGACUAGGCGCAGCGGACCCGGGGGCAGUACCCGGCGACUCCACCACCACGCGUCCUUUCAGGGCGGAUGAUGAUGGGGUCGAACUAGGAUCGACGUGUGUUGAAAGGCGCAGCUUUCGCUCGGAAUGGGACCACCGCAACGGCCCAUUACACAAGUGCCAACGAUAACGAAGCACUCGCGAUUGCGGCGUAACUGAGGGCCUAACGGCCUGAUGUUACUCUAAAAUAGCGCGGUUGGACCGCACCGGGCAACAGAAGCGGAUUCCAGCGGUACGGGGGACACCGGGCAACAGAAGUCCCCCACU
Molecule: transfer-messenger RNA, 391 nt
Filed under: Sphingomonas sp. SUN019
Lineage: Bacteria; Pseudomonadati; Pseudomonadota; Alphaproteobacteria; Sphingomonadales; Sphingomonadaceae
Rfam family: Alphaproteobacteria transfer-messenger RNA
About the family: Bacterial tmRNA, also known as 10Sa RNA or SsrA, is named for its dual tRNA and mRNA-like properties. Its role is to liberate the mRNA from a stalled ribosome.
Source: RNAcentral